GUCACUGCUAUCAGUGUUCGACUAAGCCAUGCAAGUCAAAUGUUCUUCGUGAACAUGGCGGACUGCUCAGUAACACGUGGAUAACCUGCCCUUAGGAUUGGCAUAACACCGGGAAACUGGUGAUAAUACCGAAUAGACCAUUUAUGCUGGAAUGCUUAUUGGUUCAAAGGCUUCGGCUGCCUAAGGAUGGAUCUGCGGCCUAUCAGGUAGUAGUGGGUGUAAUGUACCUACUAGCCUACGACGGGUACGGGUUGUGAGAGCAAGAGCCCGGAGAUGGAUUCUGAGACAUGAAUCCAGGCCCUACGGGGCGCAGCAGGCGCGAAAACUUUACAAUGCGGGAAACCGCGAUAAGGGGACACUGAGUGCCAGCAUAUUAUGUUGGCUGUCCACAUGUAUAAAAACCAUGUGUUAGCAAGGGCCGGGCAAGACCGGUGCCAGCCGCCGCGGUAACACCGGCGGCCCGAGUGGUGAUCACUUUUAUUGGGUCUAAAGGGUCCGUAGCCGGUUUGAUCAGUCCUCCGGGAAAUCUGACAGCUUAACUGUUAGGCUUCCGGGGGAUACUGUCAGACUUGGGACCGGGAGAGGUAAGAGGUACUACAGGGGUAGGAGUGAAAUCUUGUAAUCCCUGUGGGACCACCAGUGGCGAAGGCGUCUUACCAGAACGGGUCCGACGGUGAGGGACGAAAGCUGGGGGCACGAACCGGAUUAGAUACCCGGGUAGUCCCAGCCGUAAACGAUGCUCGCUAGGUGUCAGGGACGGUGCGACCGUUUCUGGUGCCGCAGGGAAGCCGUGAAGCGAGCCACCUGGGAAGUACGGCCGCAAGGCUGAAACUUAAAGGAA
RNAcentral lists this ribosomal RNA (841 nucleotides) under uncultured archaeon. RNAcentral's name for it is "bacterial SSU rRNA". It matches the Rfam family "Archaeal small subunit ribosomal RNA", at positions 23 to 864 of the family's 1478-position model. The record is from RNAcentral.